Molecule: ribosomal RNA, 259 nt
Filed under: uncultured bacterium
Lineage: Bacteria
Description: partial small subunit ribosomal RNA
Rfam family: Bacterial small subunit ribosomal RNA
Source: RNAcentral
AGAAUCAACGCUGGCGGCGUGCCUAACACAUGCAAGUCGAACGGGAAAGUGGAGCAAUCCAUGAGUAUAGUGGCGACCGGGUGAGUAACACGUGACUAACCUACCCUUGAGUGGGGGAUAACCUCGGGAAACCGGGGCUAAUACCGCAUAACAUUUUCAGGAUGAGAAGCUGAGGAUCAAAGGAGCAAUUCGCUUUCGGAGGGGGUCGCGGCUGAUUAGCUAGUUGGCUGGGUAACGCCCACCAAGGCUUUGAUCGGUA